Molecule: long non-coding RNA, 2241 nt
Organism: Brassica rapa (field mustard)
Lineage: Eukaryota; Viridiplantae; Streptophyta; Magnoliopsida; Brassicales; Brassicaceae
Source: RefSeq, a predicted model, not a curated record
CUUUUUUUUUUACCACGUCACCGACAGAAAUGGAAAUAUUGGGCCUGAUUUUUUUUAUCUGUUCCAAAAUUAUCGUGUGGCCCAUUAGGCCCAAACUUGAGAUGCUGAGUUGUUGAUAUGUUUCGUCCCUUCUACUUCUUCAUCUCCUUUGCCGAUUCUUUCACCUCUGUUUUUUUUUUUGGUAAAACCUCUGUUUCUUUUCCUUUCAAUAAUAAACACUUUCAUCGAUGAAUCCAGAAUGACUAUCUCCCUUCCCUCAUCAUAACCCUCUUCUUAAUCUUGUAUUUCUGUUUCUGAUUGUUCCUGCAGAAACGAGUAGUUUGUUUUGGUUUUCUUUACUCAUUCCUUCAUGUUUCUUUCAACCUCCCUUUGUUUCUCCUUCUAUUUAAACACCUUCAUCGAAUCUUACAUGCAACCAAAAUCUCUUAUCUAUGUCUCUUUGCAUCUGCAAAAAACAGCUGUUUCUAUUUCUAAUCGUUUUUGAUGCUUUUAAUCCGUGGAGCCGUGUAUUCCAUAUCGGUUGUUUUCUCUGAUCCCGACGUCGCGUCUGACUCACUGGCAGCUCGAUCAUGGUAUGCUAUGUUUAUCAAUUCCGUUAUUCGAUCGUCUCUGUAUAGCUAAAUCGUCUACACACAUAAAUAUUUUUUUCUGGGUUCCUUGAUACGAUCAAAAGCCCUUGAAUGGUGAUUGCUCCAUAAUGUUUAGUUAAGCUUUGUGUUAGUAAAUGUAAAGGCGCUAACUUUUGUCACAAAAUACUUCAGGUGUUGUGGUAACAGCUAAUGUGAAGACUGAGAAGCUAGCUACAGGUUUGCCUGAUCCUUUUCUUGCACAACUGAAGACAUCAAAAGAUCAACUUGCUAAAGAUGGCUACUCGGCUUAUUCUCAAGCUUGAAGAAAGCAACAGUUCCACUUGGUUCACUAAUGGAACAACUCAAAGGUUUUAUACCAAAAAAUUGUCUUAACAUGAAACUUUUGGGGUUGGACACCAUGAUCGAAACUGAGACCUUUCCUUCUUAUUUUUUAUCAGUAGAUUAAGGAAGCAAUUGGCAUCCAAACAAUUUUGAAGAGGCAAUAACUGUUGUAAGUUAAGUUGGUUUUUAUAUGUACUUUUUUUGGUAAAUUCAUCAUUUUAACGUUACAUUUUAUAAGCAGGUGUAAGACUAUCCACAAACAAAAAGAGCAGAAGGUAUGGAUGCUAUAUUAUAAUGAUUCAAUGUUUUUAUAUGCCAAUAUCUAAGGAUUUGCUUGCCUCUUGGCUCUUGAUCUUACAGUUUAACCAAUAUUUGUUGAGAAUGUGAAUCAGAUAAGAAGGCAGUUCUACAGCUCAACAAGGAGAAAGCCAUUGUCCUCUAUGAGGUUACAUAGAACCAAAAUAGUUUCUAAAAUUAAAAGGAUUUCUUCUCAUAUUUUUCUCUCUUGAGAAAACAAUUAAUUUCUUCUUCUUCUUCUUCUAUCUUUUGACAGCCUGAUUCACACCCGUAGCAACCAAAUUGUUCUACCGCAUCUCAUGAAAAAUAUACCCUUUUGCAUGAAAGUUAUUUAUUUUAUGUUUGUUUAAGAAACAGAAGAGUUAAGUAUCUGACUGGUAAUGUGGAAUUGUUUACCAGGGUUCAAGUCAUGAUAGUUCUGGAGACAAGGAAUACGGUGUUACAGAAAAAACAAGAACAAAGACAAAGAAAUUUUGAUAUUCUCAGAGUGAAACAUAGCGAGAAGAUGCUAUAAGAUGCGAGAUGUACAUCAAAUAUGAAUCACGCAAGGUUCAUGCAGAAAUAUGGAGAAGAGUCAGGGAAAAGAGGAAGAAGAGGACAAGAGAUUGGAGCAAAUAAAGUGAUCCAGAAAGUGAGAGAAAAAUCUAAGAAGAUCAUGAAUUGUCUUACCAACCAUGGUCAGAGUCACUGCCAGGAUCUUGAUCAUGAAGAAGAAUAUGACGAGCAAGAACCAGAAUAGCAUAGUGAGCUAGUGUAUACACGGGCGGUGUAACAGGUCAACCGGAGGCAUUGAGUCAUCCCGGGAAAAACUAAUUUUUGGCACAAGAAGAGAUCGUUCCACCAUGGACCAAAAAUUUCAGUUUGUGUCUUCGGAUUUGAUGAUAGGCUGCCUCUUAUAAAUAUUUUAAAUAAAAUGUGAGAAAUAAAUUGGAAAUAUAAUGUCAAGUAUGCAUAUGUUCGAUAAUUUCAGAUAUCCAUUCAGGUUUGGAUAUCCAAUAUCUCCUAAUUCAAUACCAAUUCUGGUAUUUUAUUA